AGUGAACGCUGGCGGUAGGCCUAACACAUGCAAGUCGAACGGCAGCACAGUAAGAGCUUGCUCUUACGGGUGGCGAGUGGCGGACGGGUGAGGCAUACAUCGGAAUCUACUUUUUCGUGGGGGAUAACGUAGGGAAACUUACGCUAAUACCGCAUACGACCUACGGGUGAAAGCAGGGGAUCUUCGGACCUUGCGCGAUUGAAUGAGCCGAUGUCGGAUUAGCUAGUUGGCGGGGUAAAGGCCCACCAAGGCGACGAUCCGUAGCUGGUCUGAGAGGAUGAUCAGCCACACUGGAACUGAGACACGGUCCAGACUCCUACGGGAGGCAGCAGUGGGGAAUAUUGGGCAAUGGGCGAAAGCCUGAUCCAGCCAUACCGCGUGGGUGAAGAAGGCCUUCGGGUUGUAAAGCCCUUUUGUUGGGAAAGAAAAGCAGCAGGUUAAUACCCCGCUGUUCUGACGGUACCCAAAGAAAAAGCACCGGCUAACUUCGUG
RNAcentral lists this ribosomal RNA (492 nucleotides) under uncultured bacterium. RNAcentral's name for it is "partial 16S ribosomal RNA". It matches the Rfam family "Bacterial small subunit ribosomal RNA", at positions 29 to 507 of the family's 1533-position model. The record is from RNAcentral.